This 426-nucleotide ribosomal RNA is filed under the name Triticum aestivum (bread wheat). RNAcentral's name for it is "partial small subunit ribosomal RNA". Lineage: Eukaryota; Viridiplantae; Streptophyta; Magnoliopsida; Poales; Poaceae. The record is from RNAcentral.
AUGAGAUAUCGGCAGCCUCCCUCGAGGAGGACCGCCGGACGCAAUGAAUAUUGUCUUGGAACUACCGGGGGGAACCGCCGGACAGUUCGUGAGAUUUUGGCCCUCUCAAAAGCCAACAGCCCCAAGCUAGUCUUUCUAUGUGAGACUAGGCAGGAUUCAGCUAAGGUGGAUAAGUUAAAGUGGUGGCUUGGUUUAAAGGGCUACCACGGUGUUAGUAGUGAUGGACGGAGUGGCGGACUAGCUCUGUUUUGGGAUGAGUCUCUUUCGGUUACAGUGCUCGAAUCUUGUAAUAGGUUCAUCGAUGUUCGUGUCCAGGAUGGUGGUUCUGAUGUUCUAUGCAGAGGCACGUUUAUAUAUGGGGAGCCGAGGGUGGAAAAUCGACAGCGUAUGUGGGAUCAUCUCUGCCGGUUGUGCUCAGUUUUGUGA